CUUGGAGCUAAAGGUGGUGGCCAAGGCCCUUCUCGGCCCCUUCCAGUUCGUCUGUAAUUCCCUGGCGCAGCUCCGGGAAGAGGUGCACGAACUGCAGGCGCGGUGGUUCCCCAGCAGAACCACUCUGCAUCGGGGAAUUGAAAACAAGGAAUUCCCCAACCAAACAGGGGCACAGGCUGUGUUUGCAGCUCCUGUAAAAGCUCCAUACCCAGAGCCGUGUCUCCCAGCUCCCAGGUGAAGUCUUAUGUAUACAUGGG
This 257-nucleotide long non-coding RNA is filed under the name Homo sapiens (human). RNAcentral describes it as "non-protein coding lnc-NAPEPLD-5:6". Lineage: Eukaryota; Metazoa; Chordata; Mammalia; Primates; Hominidae. The record is from RNAcentral.